CGGCGUGCUUACACAUGCAAGUCGAGCGGAAAGGCCCUUCGGGGUACUCGAGCGGCGAACGGGUGAGUAACACGUGAGCAACCUGCCCCAGGCUUUGGGAUAACCCCGGGAAACCGNGGCUAAUACCGAAUAUGACCUUGCACCGCAUGGUGUUUGGUGGAAAGUUUUUCGGCUUGGGAUGGGCUCGCGGCCUAUCAGCUUGUUGGUGGGGUGAUGGCCUACCAAGGCGACGACGGGUAGCCGGCCUGAGAGGGCGACCGGCCACACUGGGACUGAGACACGGCCCAGACUCCUACGGGAGGCAGCAGUGGGGAAUAUUGCACAAUGGGCGGAAGCCUGAUGCAGCGACGCCGCGUGAGGGAUGACGGCCUUCGGGUUGUAAACCUCUUUCAGCAGGGACGAAGCGUAAGUGACGGUACCUGCAGAAGAAGCGCCGGCCAACUACGUGCCAGCAGCCGCGGUAAGACGUAGGGCGCGAGCGUUGUCCGGAUUUAUUGGGCGUAAAGAGCUCGUAGGCGGCUUGUCGCGUCGACUGUGAAAACCCGCAGCUCAACUGCGGGCCUGCAGUCGAUACGGGCAGGCUAGAGUUCGGUAGGGGAGACUGGAAUUCCUGGUGUAGCGGUGAAAUGCGCAGAUAUCAGGAGGAACACCGGUGGCGAAGGCGGGUCUCUGGGCCGAUACUGACGCUGAGGAGCGAAAGCGUGGGGAGCGAACAGGAUUAGAUACCCUGGUAGUCCACGCUGUAAACGUUGGGCGCUAGGUGUGGGGGGCCUCUCCGGUUCCCUGUGCC
RNAcentral lists this ribosomal RNA (790 nucleotides) under Micromonospora sp. I08A-00434. RNAcentral describes it as "bacterial SSU rRNA". It matches the Rfam family "Bacterial small subunit ribosomal RNA", at positions 40 to 847 of the family's 1533-position model. The record is from RNAcentral. Lineage: Bacteria; Bacillati; Actinomycetota; Actinomycetes; Micromonosporales; Micromonosporaceae.